Molecule: ribosomal RNA, 585 nt
Filed under: uncultured bacterium
Lineage: Bacteria
Description: partial 16S ribosomal RNA
Rfam family: Bacterial small subunit ribosomal RNA
Source: RNAcentral
UGGGGAAUUUUGGACAAUGGGCGAAAGCCUGAUCCAGCAAUGCCGCGUGUGUGAAGAAGGCCUUCGGGUUGUAAAGCACUUUUGUCCGGAAAGAAAUCCUUGGCUCUAAUACAGUCGGGGGAUGACGGUACCGGAAGAAUAAGCACCGGCUAACUACGUGCCAGCAGCCGCGGUAAUACGUAGGGUGCAAGCGUUAAUCGGAAUUACUGGGCGUAAAGCGUGCGCAGGCGGUUUGCUAAGACCGAUGUGAAAUCCCCGGGCUCAACCUGGGAACUGCAUUGGUGACUGGCAGGCUAGAGUAUGGCAGAGGGGGGUAGAAUUCCACGUGUAGCAGUGAAAUGCGUAGAGAUGUGGAGGAGUACCGAUGGCGAAGGCAGCCCCCUGGGCCAAUACUGACGCUCAUGCACGAAAGCGUGGGGAGCAAACAGGAUUAGAUACCCUGGUAGUCCACGCCCUAAACGAUGUCAACUAGUUGUUGGGGAUUCAUUUCCUUAGUAACGUAGCUAACGCGUGAAGUUGACCGCCUGGGGAGUACGGUCGCAAGAUUAAAACUUAAAGGAAUUGACGGGGUCAUAGCUGUUUCCU